Molecule: long non-coding RNA, 701 nt
Filed under: Brassica napus (rape)
Lineage: Eukaryota; Viridiplantae; Streptophyta; Magnoliopsida; Brassicales; Brassicaceae
Description: long non-coding RNA (BNAP_LNC020979)
Source: RNAcentral
AGAUGCAAAUUAGGUUCAUCAAAGAUGAGAAUCAUAUAUAUAUAGGGUUUACAGAAAGGCUACAACUCAGGAACAUUUAAGAUCAAGCGAUUUAAGAUGGGGAGAUGAAGUGUUCACCGAUGAAAAAAUAGAUUACGAACAGACACACAGCGCAAUUCUAUAACUCAAACUUGUCUAAGACAAUGAUGAAAAGAACCCUAACUCAUGUUAAGCGAAGACAAUUUACAAUAUGGAAAAACUAUAAUUGUUGUUUUUUUCAUAUAACGUGAUGAACCUCAUUUAAAAAUGAAACUCAUAAUACACUUGUAGGUCUGACCCACAGAGAAAACCGAAGAAGCAAAGGUUUCCAACCUUCAUAAAUAAAUACUCCCUCUGUUCCCGGAAGUAAGAUUUUCUAAAGUGUUCACGCUUAUUAAGAAUUCAAUAAAUAUUUAUAAUUUAAUUUUUCUUUUACUUUAUCAUACACUUUCCAAUAACUUUUCACCAAUGAAAUUUAAUCAAUUCAAAUAUUUUUAUUUAAUGUUUCUUAAAAGUAUAAAAAAAUACCUUAAACAUAUAGAAAAUCUAUCUUUGUGGAACAAGUAAAAAAUCUAAAACAUCUUACUUUCGGGAACAGAAGGAGUAUUAGUUUUGGCCAUCAAUGUACAAAGUAUUCUUUAGUUUAGUGGUAUAAAUGUUAGUGUUUAUAUUUCAAUAAUCCG